RNAcentral lists this unclassified non-coding RNA (300 nucleotides) under Hevea brasiliensis (rubber tree). The record is from RNAcentral. Lineage: Eukaryota; Viridiplantae; Streptophyta; Magnoliopsida; Malpighiales; Euphorbiaceae.
AAUUGUCAGAGCGGCGUGCCAAAGGUUUUCUUACCAAAGCUCAAACGCAAGCCAAGUAUGGAUGGUAAUGAUUUAUUUGAUUAUGAAACCUCAAAUUUAUAGCUGAUGAUCUGAAGAGGCCGCUCCUGUGUCAUAGACAUUUUCUCAUUCCAUCAGAAUCUCCUUUUGGCCAUAAGCCAGACCACCUUCAAUGUUAUAUUUUAUUUGGUUAAUUGUUUCCUAACAGAUUAUAGUUACGAUUUGUGUUAUCAUUUUGCAAUCUAAAGAUGGCAGAAUUACCUGUCCUUCACCUGCUGGAGU